GCCGACGUAGCUCAACGGUAGAGCAGCUGAUUCGUAAUCAGCAGGUUGCCGGUUCAAUCCCGGCCGUCGGCU
Non-coding RNA from Deltaproteobacteria bacterium CSP1-8, 72 nucleotides. Lineage: Bacteria; Deltaproteobacteria. The record is from Rfam.